AAACCGUUUAGGGGUAAACCUGAGAAACCCGAAAGAUCGAAUGAGGAGACUCAUCGCAAGCGGUANUGGCUUCCUUGUGGUUCGCGAUGUUUCGAGACGUCAUCCUCGUGGUGACUAUCGUUUGCACGCGGCCGCUUGGUAUGUCCGGUAACGUCGGCGUGCAUUUCUUCUCUAGUAGAACGUCGCGACCCGUUGGGUGUCGGUUUAAGGCCCGAUUCGUAGUCUGUUCCGUCGCUUCGGCGCACGUGUACAAACGUUUGGUGUCCCGAUCGACUGCCCGACGGUAAAAAAGAUGGUAUCGAGCCGCACUCGAAUGCGUUCAGACUCGUCGCAAGUCGGAUCACUGUUUCUCGGAGCACGGACCCAGUGCCGUUCCUGAGGGUGGUUGGCUGUUGGCGGACGAAGUUCUCGAACCGGCUUAGAACAUUGUCUCUUGAACGAUACCAGUCGGCGGCGCUAUUGCUUUGGGUACUUUCAGGA
This 480-nucleotide ribosomal RNA is filed under the name Trimorus sp. M172. RNAcentral describes it as "eukaryotic LSU rRNA". Lineage: Eukaryota; Metazoa; Arthropoda; Insecta; Hymenoptera; Scelionidae. The record is from RNAcentral.